RNAcentral lists this long non-coding RNA (994 nucleotides) under Apteryx owenii (little spotted kiwi). Its description in RNAcentral is "lncRNA (ENSAOWG00000006079.1)". Lineage: Eukaryota; Metazoa; Chordata; Aves; Apterygiformes; Apterygidae. The record is from RNAcentral.
UCCCGCGCCCGCAACGCUCGGAUGCACGGACCGAAGAGUUUGGAGGAACCCAAAACCCAACCCUCAGCUCCCGCUAACCCCUUCCUCCCAGCGCACGGCGGCCCCGCGCCCGUGUCCCCAAAAUUUCAGGCCUUUCCCGACCCAUCGUCUUCCAUUGCUGCUUGAAACAGGGACUUAAAAUUCAUCUCGACUCUUCCCUUCCUCUAAAAUGCCUCGUCUAAACGGGGUGGUGGAGCAGACUCUACGCUUGCCCGAUUUAGAGAGCUGCACUAGCAGAAAGGGUCCCUCACUUCAUGCCCACUUUGAUCCCCGCAGUUGCAGCCCCUCUGAUCCCUGCGCCAUCCAGCUGGGCUGUUUCAGUCACCUCCCCCAGGACGCUGUUUUCUGCCAGAUUCCUCCUUGGGUCUACAAGAACCUCUUUCCUCACCUCCAGCUUGGCCCAGCGUCCUGUAAUUGAGAGCCAGCGUGAUCAAGCUAGAUUUGUGGAUCGAGGACGCACGCGUGAACGAAACGGCGCUCACCGCCUGGCUGCGUUCGUUAUCUCUGCGGCCGCCAGCGAGGGCUGGCGUUAUCGCUGAAAUCCUGUCCCUCCCCGAUAAAGGCUCUCGGCAGAGAAAACGUGGCUGCAGAGAUGCAGGCAAAGCCCUCCAUCUUCGAGCCUGCGUGGAAAACCCGCUGUUGGAGGGAGGAAGAGCAGAUUCAUGCCCCCAGAAAGAGCUCCUGAACGUGGCUGRAGCCUACAGGAGGUAGCGCUGGUUUCGCCACGCAGGAUUUCCAAAGGGGGCUGGGGAGAGGCGCCUGGGUCCUCCACGGCUGCCGGGAACUUGCUGGGGGCUCUCGUUUACUUCUUGCUGCCUUGCCCAUGCUUCUGUUUCUAGCUGUGUCCAUCUUAGCUGUCGAAUGACUAAGGAUUUCAGCGCAUCGAUCCGCUCUGUUGUGGAGACUCGCAAAAUACCAGUCAGCAAUAAAGGUGCAUAAAAGCAAUAAAUUCCCA